UUCAAAUUAUUAGUGUAUCGAAUAUACUACUACAACGAAUAUUUAAAUACUAUACUCAUAUAAUAUAAUUUAGUUUAAAAAAAUGAAGACGUUUAAUAUCAAAACCGAAUUGUCUACACGAUUCAUUGUAGAAGCAUCCAAACCAUAGGAUGGGUCUCUUCGGAGACAGGAUAUCGUUUUCUUUUUUUAUAAUUGUAUUUAUAUAAGCAUGUGUUUCCUCGAUAGGCGAUUACAGUCCAAUGAAGGAACAAGCGCCCCCUGAAUCCACCACUGAAAAAACUCGAAUUUAAUCUAGUUGAAGACAUUGACCUAGUUUAAAAGAGACCACCUACGCAUAUCAAAUUAUUACUAAUUAUUGUUACGUUAAUUUUGAAUCAUCUAUUUUGAUACAUCAAUAUUGCGUAAAUUAUUAAAUUUAUUGAUUAUUAAGACUAGCAUUAGAGGAUAAUCCUUGUUAGGAUAUUUGAUAAUAAAUGCACUUAUUUAUUAUUA
This is a long non-coding RNA of Daktulosphaira vitifoliae (grape phylloxera), 492 nucleotides long. RefSeq lists it as uncharacterized. The transcript is spliced from 2 exons. The record is from RefSeq and is a predicted model, not a curated record. NCBI's taxonomy places the organism in Eukaryota, Metazoa, Arthropoda, Insecta, Hemiptera, Phylloxeridae.